CUCUCUUUGUUAUUUAUGUAGAUAAAGAGUUGGGCCUGCUCGGUGAAAUUUUUUAACAGCUGCGGUAUUUUAACUGUACUAAGGUAGCAUAAUAAUUUGCCUUAUAAUUUGAGGCUAGAAUGAAUGGUUUGACGAAGGUUAAUCUGUCUCAACUUUAUUUUUUAGAAAUUAAUUUUCAUAGUGAAAAAGCUUGAAUUUUUUAAUGGGACGAGAAGACCCUAUUGAGCUUAUAAUUUUAUUGAUAUUUUUAUUAUUAUUUAUAAUUAUAUUAUAUAAAUUUUAAUUGGGGUGAUUAAGGAAUAAUUAGUUAAAAAAUAACUUCCUUAAGUGUAAUAUAUUGUUGAAUUAAGUAACCGAUUAAUUAAUAUUUUUUAUAUUAGUAUUGCUUAUAAUAUAGUUACCAUAGGGAUAACAGCGUAAUUUACUUAGAGAGCUCUUAUUGAAAAGUAAGAUUGCGACCUCGAUGUUGGAUUAAAGUAACCUUAAGGUGUAGAAGCUUUAUAAGGUAAAUCUGUUCGAUUUUUAAAACUUU
Molecule: ribosomal RNA, 532 nt
Filed under: Loliolus japonica
Lineage: Eukaryota; Metazoa; Mollusca; Cephalopoda; Myopsida; Loliginidae
Also listed under: 1 other name
Description: Loliolus japonicus partial 16S ribosomal RNA
Rfam family: Bacterial large subunit ribosomal RNA
Source: RNAcentral